GUGGGGAAUAUUGGACAAUGGGCGAAAGCCUGAUCCAGCCAUGCCGCGUGAGUGAUGAAGGCCUUAGGGUUGUAAAGCUCUUUCAGUAGGGAAGAUAAUGACGGUACCUACAGAAGAAGCCCCGGCUAACUUCGUGCCAGCAGCCGCGGUAAUACGAAGGGGGCUAGCGUUGUUCGGAUUUACUGGGCGUAAAGCGCACGUAGGCGGUUUGUUAAGUCAGGGGUGAAAUCCCGGAGCUCAACUCCGGAACUGCCUUUGAUACUGGCAAGCUAGAGUCCGGAAGAGGUAAGUGGAACUCCUAGUGUAGAGGUGGAAUUCGUAGAUAUUAGGAAGAACACCAGUGGCGAAGGCGGCUUACUGGUCCGGAACUGACGCUGAGGUGCGAAAGCGUGGGGAGCAAACAGGAUUAGAAACCCUUGUAGUCC
RNAcentral lists this ribosomal RNA (425 nucleotides) under uncultured bacterium. RNAcentral's name for it is "partial 16S ribosomal RNA". It matches the Rfam family "Bacterial small subunit ribosomal RNA", at positions 354 to 796 of the family's 1533-position model. The record is from RNAcentral.